Molecule: ribosomal RNA, 253 nt
Filed under: uncultured bacterium
Lineage: Bacteria
Description: partial 16S ribosomal RNA
Rfam family: Bacterial small subunit ribosomal RNA
Source: RNAcentral
GACGAACCGUGCGAACGUUAUUCGGAAUCACUGGGCUUAAAGCGCGUGUAGGCGGGCCGGCACGUCGGUCGCUGAAAUCCCCCGGCUCAACCGGGGAAGGGGCGCCGAUACGACCGGCCUGGAGGGGAGUAGGGGGGCCUGGAACUUCCGGUGGAGCGGUGAAAUGCGUUGAGAUCGGAAGGAACGCCCGUGGCGAAAGCGAGGCCCUGGACUCCUGCUGACGCUGAGACGCGAAAGCCAGGGGAGCGAACGG